This 238-nucleotide long non-coding RNA is filed under the name Olea europaea (common olive). RNAcentral's name for it is "long non-coding RNA (OEUR_LNC009742)". Lineage: Eukaryota; Viridiplantae; Streptophyta; Magnoliopsida; Lamiales; Oleaceae. The record is from RNAcentral.
ACCUCGGUCUCACACCCACAAAGUAAUGGGUUAGCCGAAGUAACUAAUCGGAUCAUAUUGCAGGACCUCCGAACAAGGAUAGGGGACGCCAAAGGUGACUGGCCUGACAUGCUGCCUUCGAUACUAUGGGCAUAUAGGACUUCACACAAGACAGCAACUGGUGAAACGCCAUUCAUGCUUGCUUUUGGACUUAAGGCUACCAUUCCAAUCGAGGUUAGCCUCCCCACAAUAAGAAAGC